This 384-nucleotide ribosomal RNA is filed under the name uncultured bacterium. Its description in RNAcentral is "bacterial SSU rRNA". It matches the Rfam family "Bacterial small subunit ribosomal RNA", at positions 28 to 412 of the family's 1533-position model. The record is from RNAcentral.
GACGAACGCUGGCGGCGUGCUUAACACAUGCAAGUCGAACGAUGAACCAGGGCUUGCCCUGGGGAUUAGUGGCGAACGGGUGAGUAACACGUGGGCAACCUGCCCCAGACAUCGGGAUAACCAUUCGAAAGGAUGGCUAAUACCGAAUACGACCACUUUGGGCAUCCAACGGUGGUGGAAAGGAUUCUGGUCUGGGAUGGGCCCGCGGCCUAUCAGCUAGUUGGUGGGGUAAUGGCCUACCAAGGCGACGACGGGUAACCGGCCUGAGAGGGCGACCGGUCACACUGGGACUGAGACACGGCCCAGACUCCUACGGGAGGCAGCAGUGGGGAAUAUUGCGCAAUGGGCGAAAGCCUGACGCAGCGACGCCGCGUGAGGGACGAA